AGCUGGUCCAAGUGAAGUAGUGUUUACAACUAAUUGAUCACAACCUGUUACAGAUUCCUUUGUUCCUUCUCCAGUCCCACUGCUUCACUUGACUGGCCUAAA
RNAcentral lists this Y RNA (102 nucleotides) under Prolemur simus (greater bamboo lemur). Its description in RNAcentral is "Y RNA (ENSPSMG00000023563.1)". It matches the Rfam family "Y RNA". From Rfam's summary of the family: Y RNAs are components of the Ro ribonucleoprotein particle (Ro RNP), in association with Ro60 and La proteins. The Y RNAs and Ro60 and La proteins are well conserved, but the function of the Ro RNP is not known. Lineage: Eukaryota; Metazoa; Chordata; Mammalia; Primates; Lemuridae. The record is from Rfam by way of RNAcentral.